UACGUAGGUGACAAGCGUUGUCCGGAUUUACUGGGCGUAAAGAGCGCGCAGGCGGUCGUUCAAGUCGAGUGUGAAAGCCCCCGGCUCAACUGGGGAGGGUCACUCGAUACUGAUCGACUCGAAGGCAGGAGAGGAGACUGGAAUUCACGGUGUAGCAGUGAAAUGCGUAGAUAUCGUGAGGAAGACCAGUGGCGAAGGCGGGUCUCUGGACAGUUCCUGACGCUGAGGCGCGAAGGCCAGGGGAGCAAACGGG
This 253-nucleotide ribosomal RNA is filed under the name uncultured bacterium. RNAcentral describes it as "partial 16S ribosomal RNA". It matches the Rfam family "Bacterial small subunit ribosomal RNA", at positions 524 to 776 of the family's 1533-position model. The record is from RNAcentral.